This 253-nucleotide ribosomal RNA is filed under the name uncultured bacterium. RNAcentral's name for it is "partial 16S ribosomal RNA". It matches the Rfam family "Bacterial small subunit ribosomal RNA", at positions 524 to 776 of the family's 1533-position model. The record is from RNAcentral.
UACAGAGGGUGCAAGCGUUAAUCGGAAUUACUGGGCGUAAAGCGUGCGUAGACGGUUAUGUAAGUCAGAUGUGAAAGCCCCGGGCUCAACCUGGGAAUUGCAUUUGAGACUGCAUAGCUAGGGUGCGGAAGAGGGAAGCGGAAUUCCUGGUGUAGCGGUGAAAUGCGUAGAUAUCAGGAGGAACACCAGCGGUGUAGACGGCUUUCUGGACCAUUGCUGACGCUGAGACACGAAAGCGUGGGUAGCAAACAGG